GAUGAACGCUAGCGGCAGGCCUAAUACAUGCAAGUCGAACGAUAUUUUCCAGCUUGCUGGGAGAGAAAGUGGCGCACGGGUGCGUAACGCGUAUGCAACCUACCUUUAUCAGGGGGAUAGCCCGGAGAAAUCCGGAUUAAUACCGCAUAAAAUCACAGAACGGCAUUGUUCAAUGAUCAAACAUUUAUGGGAUAAAGAUGGGCAUGCGUGUCAUUAGCUAGUUGGCGGGGUAACGGCCCACCAAGGCGACGAUGACUAGGGGAUCUGAGAGGAUGGCCCCCCACACUGGUACUGAGACACGGACCAGACUCCUACGGGAGGCAGCAGUAAGGAAUAUUGGUCAAUGGAGGCAACUCUGAACCAGCCAUGCCGCGUGCAGGAAGACUGCCCUAUGGGUUGUAAACUGCUUUUAUCCGGGAAUAAACCUCCGAUCAUGAUCGGAGCUGAAUGUACCGGAAGAAUAAGGAUCGGCUAACUCCGUGCCAGCAGCCGCCGUAA
This 498-nucleotide ribosomal RNA is filed under the name uncultured bacterium. Its description in RNAcentral is "partial 16S ribosomal RNA". It matches the Rfam family "Bacterial small subunit ribosomal RNA", at positions 28 to 523 of the family's 1533-position model. The record is from RNAcentral.